GAUGAACGCUGGCGGCGUGCCUAAUACAUGCAAGUCGAGCGAACGGACGAGAAGCUUGCUUCUCUGAUGUUAGCGGCGGACGGGUGAGUAACACGUGGAUAACCUACUUAUAAGACUGGGAUAACUUCGGGAAACCGGAGCUAAUACUGGAUAAUAUUUUGUACCGCAUGGUUCAAAAGUGAAAGACGGUCUUGCUGUCACUUAUAGAUGGAUCCGCGCUGCAUUAGCUAGUUGGUAAGGUAACGGCUUACCAAGGCAACGAUGCAUAGCCGACCUGAGAGGGUGAUCGGCCACACUGGAACUGAGACACGGUCCAGACUCCUACGGGAGGCAGCAGUAGGGAAUCUUCCGCAAUGGGCGAAAGCCUGACGGAGCAACGCCGCGUGAGUGAUGAAGGUCUUCGGAUCGUAAAACUCUGUUAUUAGGAAAGAACAUAUGUGUAAGUAACUGUGCACAUCUUGACGGUACCUAAUCAGAAAGCCACGGCUAACUACGUG
Molecule: ribosomal RNA, 497 nt
Filed under: uncultured bacterium
Lineage: Bacteria
Description: partial 16S ribosomal RNA
Rfam family: Bacterial small subunit ribosomal RNA
Source: RNAcentral